UCGGUCUCGCAAUACUUUCCGUUGGCAUCAACAGCACUGCGGCGAGAACGACCGAUUACCUAUCCAAGUCUCGGUCGAGAAGGAUUUCUGAAUCCUUAUUGGUCGAGGUCAUCUCAUCAGCCUUCUCGGCGAAGUGAGGUGUUACGAGUUAUUACAUUCGGCACAUUGAGGGCCGAAUUUGAUAUUGAACUUCGUGAGAAUAGUAACCUUGUCUUCAGGUUCGAGAGCCCAAGAGGCCGAGACGUGUUCCUUUCUUGGCCGCAAUCGCAAGACGCAGAAGUCAGUAGCGCGACCCAACGCAACAUCAACAAAUUUACUCCUCGGCCGAGCUCGGCCGACGAGUUGGCACGCCCCGCAUUCACCGAAGGACGUAGUUAGCUUAUUAAUUACUCGGCCUGCGCGCCACGUAGGCUUGGUAGUUUUUAGGGUCAACAUUUUGGCACGCCCAGUGGGACCCAGUGCUAAACUACGAAGUUCACAUGAUCUAUCUCGAUCCGGCUUCAAGGGAUGAGUGUUAUCGCCUAUUAAAGGAGCAAAACAACUUCUCGAGAGUUUGAGAAGAAUUUCUGAAAGGCAAGAGGCCGGGGGGCAAAUCUCCACUCCGGCCACAACCAAUAUUCAGCCUAAGAAAAGUGAUAAUUUGGCCGAAGAACAAAGGCCACUUGUUGUUUCGGUAGAGACUGAAAAUAUAGUAGGCCUAGAAGAAAAAAUUCAAGUCCCUAAGCUAUAUACAAAAAUUGACUUGGAAAAAGAUUCGUCAAAAGAACGCUCCAGUGACGAACGAGGCCGAGAUAUUGGCCUAGCCCGAGAAACUACGCCAAUUGAUAUGAUUAUUGGCAAUAAAGCCGAUAUGGAGAAAUCCUGUUCGGCUAAGUUAUUUGAAUUAAAAGCCGAAAUUAUGCCUGGGGGGCAUAAUAAUUGUUCAGCGCAUUCGGCGGCCGAUAAAAAAUCUUUCGUCAAGUCAAACAUAUUUGGAGAUAGUAUUUUAUUCGGCCUUGCAAAAAUUCAAAGUGAAAGUUUUGAUACAAAAAGCCUUCGGCUUGGAAUAAAACAUCGUUGGCCUCCUCCAUUUAUAGUAGGGCCACUUUUGUUUUCUUUUGCUACAAAAUAAGAAUAAAUUAUUUUCUUAACCAUUCGGCUUUUUAGGCCGAUGCUUAAGAAAAUAAAGGGGGCAAUAAGAUGGUGCGGACUUAGAAAAACAAGAAAAAACAAGAUGGUGUACUCGGCAGACAAUUUUGGUCAAAUAAUGGUGUACUCGGCAGACAGUUUUGGUCGAAUGAAUUUGCGAGAGCAUGCAUGACAAUUGCUCGGCAGACAGUUUUGGUCAAAUGAAUUUAUGGGAGCAUGCAUGGUUGCGAAGCUUGCUCAAUUCAGUUUCGAUGUGCGGUUUAAUAUAUAUAUGUGUGUGUCAGAAUGACCCAUCACAUGAAACAGAAAGAGAGACGCAUACGGAAAAGACAAAGGAAAAUUCAUGAAGUUAUGGUAGGCUUCCACAUGGGCUAACCUUUUCGUUUGGUGAUGUAGUGAUCUGUGAAUUCCUAACAGCAUUAUUUGGCCGAAUACAAAUCUUUGGCCGAAUAAAACAUAGUUCGGCCGAAUAUAAUGGGUUAUAUAUAUAUAUAUAUAUAUAUAUAUAUAUAUAUAUAUAUAUAUAUAUAUAGGCUCUACAGCCAGUUCUUCUCGGUCUCAGCCCUAUUUACUCUCGACCCCAGUAUUUUUGACCGAUACUAGUGUUUUCUCGACCCCGGCAGUUGAGAGUUGGAGUAGUUCACGACACUGGCAGAGGGAGGUUAUGACAUUGGCAGAACAUAGGUGAUUUUAAUGCCGAGAGACAAAAUUUGUUUCGGCAAUACGACGAAGUGUUGUUGGCUACGAGCAAUUAAUUUCCUUAACCAUUCGGCUUACGAGCCGAAGCUCACGGAAACUAGGGGGCAAUGUUUGGACCUGAUUUUACACAUCGGCCUAAGCAAUCGAGGCCGUUGAGUAAGCAUGGUUCUCAACCGUUGGAUAAGAAAGUUUAGAUAUUAUUGUUAAGAGAUAAUAUUAUGAUUUUUAAUCAUAAUAAUUAUUUUUUUAAUAAGUUAUCUCGGUUUUUUAUGCAAAAUAAAUGGGAUGGAGGCAAGUAGAGUUGUGAUGGGGACGUGAGCUUUGAAUCAGGUUGGUUUGUUUUGCUGGACAUGCAUGCAUGGGAUGUAAAGAUAAUGAAGUGAUAGGGGAUAAAUCCAAACAUGCCAAAACGUGUAAUUUGCAAAAGAAUUGUGCAAUAUGGAGAUUCUAUCCUAAUGCAUGGUUUUUUGGGAUUGGUUUUGUGCACGUGGCAUGCGACAAUGGAGAUGAUGGUUUUGCAUGGUGAUGGCAAUAUGGGUUUAAAGGCUUCUCAUGUUUUUUAAUAAGAAGCCUAGGUGGGUUAUAUCUCUAGUGAGAUGUGAUAAAGCCUAGGUAGGCUUUAUUUAUCUGAAGGAUAUGUGCGGCGUAUUUGAUACGGGAUCAGGGUUUAUCUGAAGGAUAUGCGCAGCGUAUUUGAUACGGGAUCAAGGUCAAUUCCACAAAAUAGAGUUGCAGUUGGACUCUACAAAAUUAUUUGGCCGCGUCACACAACAUUUGCUCCUAUAAAUACAGAGGUAGUGGCAACGGAAGAAGGACCCCUGCAAAUCAAUACAAAAUUGCCCUGCGCAAAUUCUCACAACUUGUGAUUUUUCUUUUCCCUUUUUUCGCUGACACAUCUUCCGUUGGCAUCAACAGCACUGUGGAAGCAACCGGUGAUAUCUUAAGUCGGCAUAGAUAGCUCUGUCACCGUAGAAUCAGUCGGUCUCGCAAUACCUUCCAUUGGCAUCAACAGCACUGCGGCGAGAACGACCGAUUACCUAUCCAAGUCUCGGUCGAGAAGGAUUUCUGAAUCCUUAUUGGUCGAGGUCAUCUCAUCAGCCUUCUCGGCGAAGUGAGGUGUUACGAGUUAUUACAUUCGGCACAUUGAGGGCCGAAUUUGAUAUUGAACUUCGUGAGAAUAGUAACCUUGUCUUCAGGUUCGAGAGCCCAAGAGGCCGAGACGUGUUCCUUUCUCGGCCGCAAUCGCAAGACGCAGAAGUCAGUAGCGCGACCCAACGCAACAUCAACAAAUUUACUCCUCGGCCGAGCUCGGCCGACGAGUUGGCACGCCCCGCAUUCACCGAAGGACGUAGUUAGCUUAUUAAUUACUCGGCCUGCGCGCCACGUAGG
Molecule: long non-coding RNA, 3216 nt
Filed under: Malus domestica (apple)
Lineage: Eukaryota; Viridiplantae; Streptophyta; Magnoliopsida; Rosales; Rosaceae
Description: long non-coding RNA (MDOM_LNC001148)
Source: RNAcentral